CGGGUCGGCUCCGAACAUACGCGGCGAGGGCUUCGAGCGCGUGAGGCGAGGCGGCGCCCCUUCCUCUCCCGGCGGCGGCGCGGCGCCCCUUCCUCUCGCGCUCCCAUCGACCGCAGAGGCGGCGAGGCUCGGCUUCUUCUCGAACGGCGCCGCUCCACCGCCCUUCCCCACCGGCGCCGUCGAGGCUUCGAUCCCCAAUUCGCGUACUCGCACCGUCGCACGCGAUGGCGGCACCCUCUCCUCCCAUCCCGGUCUCCACGCCGGCGCCACGGCGACGCCUUUCCCCUUCUCCUGAAUUCUACAUCGGCGUGACGGCGAUGCUUCCUUCUUCCCUCCUCCCCGCCAGCAGCGCCGCCUCUUCCUCCACCUGACGCCGGCUUCCAUCUCGUUGGUUACGAACUCGCGCUGCCCCUUGCGCCCAUGCCGUUGGCGGCGGUGACUUGGCUGUCGUCCCACUCAGCCUACCGCGUGUUCUGCUGCCCGACAUGGCCACGCCAUCGGCCGUCCCUGCUGGUAUGAGCCAAACUGCAGUAUGUCUUGUUUGCCUGUAAUGUCAAAGCUGAUGAGCUGAUCUCUUGUUUGCCGUCAAAACUUGCUUGUUGAUUGAUUCGUUUUUGUCAAUUUUGAAGUUUGUCAUGUGCUAAGCACUGAUGUAUCGGGUAGCAAAAAAAUUGAUAAUUUCAGUGUGUUUCUAUUAACAUCAGUGGUAAUUAAUUAAGCAUCUCCAAUCAAAAAAUCAACAGAUUAUAUUCUACUUACGUUCUUUCAUUUGAUUUGGCAUGUGUACUCUCUUCUAGCAAAAAUCUGAUUUUUUUUUCAUGGGUCAACCCGUGGUACCCACUGGCAUUGUUGCAUCCUAGGUGGGUUUCAUGGGGCGAGUCUGGGUCGGCGCCGCCAUCAUCUCCUCUCCUCCUCCCUUUCCCGUCGCCGCAGCCGUCAUCGUCGCGUCUCCUCACUAUCGGAAUCAGACGUCGGCCAGUCCCUGUCCCUCCUCGCCUCCAUCCCCAAUCCCCUCGCCCUCUUGCUCCUCCGCCAAGCCCCGCUCCUCCGUCGCGACCAGCGCAUGCCACACCGGCGCCGCCUCGCCAAGCGCCACGACCUCCGUUCCGCGACGCCGCCACAACCCCAGGCGCCCAGCCUCCGCCGCCCACCGUCGAUCCCUCGUCGUCGCUCCACCUCCACAGCAGAUCCCCUCCCCGGAACCCCCUCCCCUUUCCCACACACCACUCCCUCCCAUCGACGCACCUUGAUGCACGUCUCCCCACCUUUUGCCCGGUCGCCCCCGGAACGGAUGGAUGGAUGCCUCCACGCUGCCAGUCAUCGAAGCGCCCUGAACACCUCCGUCAUCGCAUCUUGCCCGUCUCCUUCGCGAUCAGCCGUCCCAUCCGUAGUCGACGCCUGGAGAGGCUCUCCCAUUGGUCCCGUAGAUGGCUGCCUCUGAUACAUCACCUAUGAUCUUGGUCUUGUCGAUGGCUGCCUCUGAUACAUCACCUAUGAUUUUGGGGUAUGGAAUAAUUGAUUUGUCUUGUCAUGGUUAGGGAUUAAGGUUUUUUUUUUUUUUUUUUUUACUUUGAUUCCCUUCAGGCUAAGAAAGGAAGAAAUUUGUACUUAUUCAGUGUUUCAGUAUGUUGUAUGUAGAACUACAAAUACAAAUACAAGAUAUGGUUGAUGAUCUGUAAUUCUUCUUCACUAUAUAUUGUCUGUGUUGAUCUUUUAGAUUGCCCAAUUUGGGAUUAUCAGAAAAUGUUUCUAGAUUAUCAGAAAAUGUCAUGAAGCCUUAUAUGUUUCUAAAUUAUCAGAAAAUUUCCUUCAAAAGAAUAUUAUGAGAAAAUGAAAGUGUUGUAAACAUGUCUGCUUGUUUUCCAUUGCCAGACAGACUCCAUUUUGGAUUUUAUUAACCAAUAUAGUAUGUAUUGUCCUGGUUAUUACAACAAAUCACUUGUUGCUCUCAAGUGCGAGAUUUAGCCAUCAAAGCUAGAUGGAGUAAAAAGAUUUUGUUGUUUCCACCAUCCUCUGCUUUUGGUAGAUGGAGUAAAAAGAUUUUGUUUUAAACCUUCUUGAUGGUUAAUAAAGCUGUUUUUUGGUGAUCCAUUAAGCUAGCAGCACUUACGGUUCCCAUGGACUGAAGAUGUGGAUUAAGUCUUCCUGCUCGCUGACAACACAGGUCUGGCUUCCUCUCGGCCAAUCUCCCCCAAUCUCCAUCUCCAAGGUAGCAUCACUAUUUUCCCUUUCCUUUUAUUUUCUUGUGUGUUGGCUCCUAGCCUCCUACAGACCGCUGCGGAAUCAAGAGGCCCUAUGGCCGUGUAUCUUAUGUUUACUCGAUUUCUGCUCAAGAUGUUUCCUCUUUUAUUUUUAGAUUUUAGAUUCCUGGUACCCUUACUGUUUUAGUUUUUUUCAAGAUGAAAUUUCUCUCUUUUAUAUGCUAACAUAGGAUUACUAUAAAUUGAAUUCCUGACACAUUAAUAGUUUGUAUUUACAAACUGUUCAUGGCAAGGAAGUGACGGUGUAAAGUACAGUUGCAACCAUAUAUUGACGAGACUGCGGCCAUCUUGUUUGAUUUCAUUUCCUUUUUGUCUAUUCAUUCUUCAAUGUCUGAUCUAAUAAUUCAGAAAGAUAGCUUUGCAACCCUGCAUAGAAUUUUCAAAUUCAUAUGAAUUCUAAUUUUCCUUCCGGGGGUACUAUGGCCGGUUCAAGAAGUGUCCCACAGAAAGGUGCAUGUCCUUCACUGUUCAAGGUUCAAAUGAAUCCUCACGAAAUGUAAAAACAGGUGACUUACGACAUCAUUGAUUGGUGACCCUGUUAGAUUAUUUUUCUUUAUUGAUUAUGAAGCUGUAGAAAGGAGGUUUUGCAGUACUAACAUUGUAUAGGAUAUUACUAACAUUGUAUAGGAUAUAAUACCAGGGCCAAACAUUUGGGUGGUUUGUAUUAAUGCUCUUCUUUUUCUAGCCAAUCACUUCAUUCAGUUUGACAAUAUGUAUAUCAUUUUUUGUCCUUAACAUUAGAAUGGUAAUGCUUUAAUGCAGCCAACUUUUUUACAAAGUAUUUUAAGCAUAAUUUCACCAAGAUUGCCUUAAUGAAAUGAUUGUCAGACAUAGAUGCACAUGCUUUUUUCUUGCGUUAUGAAAUGUCAGAUAAAUUUAUUUCAAGUUACUACUUGCAAAGUUGUCAAAUCUUAGUCGAGCAAAAGUCAGCAGUACACAAUCUGCACAUAUACGGUACCGUUCAUUUUGAGCAAUGUCUAUACAUGAAAGUCCUUUCUUAGCAGUCAAUUCCAUGGUCCCUGCAAGUGUACAUUCUAUUUGACAAUGCCACGUUUAUUAUUAUUUUGCAUGCUUAUGCAAGAUAUUAUCAAGCUGAUACUUCGCAUUUUCUAGAUUUAUCAAGUUUUGUGUUAAAUUUCUAUCAAAUAUUGGUUAUUUACAGGGUCAGGUUGUCUAAAACAAUACAUGAUUUUUCUGAUUGUGUCCACAUUUUGGAGUUGUAGAAGUGCAGGGAAAGCUAGGCAAAUCAGUUGAGAGACCGAGCAGCUGAGCGUUAGAUGGAUUUAGGGCACUACAUGCCUUUGGCACUUCUUAAGCCAUAGUCACAGUAUUGAUCAAGGAGCAGCCAAGCGGACUGUGGCUUAAGGGGCUAACGAAAGAGAGUGGAUUUCAUCCUAUUAUACUUGUGCUUGGCACCAGCUAACAACAUUUCCUACAGUUAUCAACAACUGGCUAAGGGAGGGCCAGCGGCGCAUGAGGCGGUCCACUGCUAGGUGCAACAAGCUCACAAGGAACAGGCGGCAAGGUCUAUGCGUGGUGCGAGCUGCACGGCGAGCCACACAGUUUGCUCGAGUGGGCUGGUGCUGUGAGCUGCAGGGUGCGAGCUGUGGAAGGAUGGAUCCGCAGGAUUAUGAAUCCUGAAUAUUGGUGAUGGUCAAAUAUUCGAUGUAAUCAAAUGAUGUUCAGUUUCUCACAAAAUCCAUUGCUUUUUACAUUUUGUAUUUUUCUUCUAUCAAACCAGAUCAAGCUGUACAAGAAACAAAGUAAGGCAGAUUUUUUUUUGUUCAGAAACUUCUUUGCAGCAACUUACAAUGUCGAUAGAAAGUUGUCUUGCUGAAACUUUUGUUGUUCUCGUUGGUAAUGUAUGAAAAAAAUAGAAAGAAUGGACAUAGUUAUUGUUUUUGUUA
Oryza sativa Japonica Group (Japanese rice) is the source of this 4168-nucleotide non-coding RNA. NCBI's taxonomy places the organism in Eukaryota, Viridiplantae, Streptophyta, Magnoliopsida, Poales, Poaceae. The record is from RefSeq and is a predicted model, not a curated record.